ACGGGAGGCAGCAGUCGGGAAUAUUGCGCAAUGGAGGAAACUCUGACGCAGUGACGCCGCGUAUAGGAAGAAGGUUUUCGGAUUGUAAACUAUUUUAGACAGGGAAGAAAUUGACAGUACCUGUAGAAUAAGCUCCGGCUAACUACGUGCCAGCAGCCGCGGUAAUACGUAGGGAGCAAGCGUUAUCCGGAUUUAUUGGGUGUAAAGGGUGCGUAGACGGGAAAGCAAGUUAGUUGUGAAAGCCCUCGGCUUAACUGAGGAACUGCAACUAAAACUAUUUUUCUUGAGUGCAGGAGAGGAAAGCGGAAUUCCUAGUGUAGCGGUGAAAUGCGUAGAUAUUAGGAGGAACACCAGUGGCGAAGGCGGCUUUCUGGACUGUAACUGACGUUGAGGCACGAAAGUGUGGGGAGCAAACAGGAUUAGAUACCCUGGUA
This is a ribosomal RNA of 434 nucleotides. It matches the Rfam family "Bacterial small subunit ribosomal RNA", at positions 341 to 792 of the family's 1533-position model.